AUUGAACGCUGGCGGCAUGCCUUACACAUGCAAGUCGAACGGUAACAGGUCUUCGGAUGCUGACGAGUGGCGAACGGGUGAGUAAUACAUCGGAACGUGCCCAGACGUGGGGGAUAACGAGGCGAAAGCUUUGCUAAUACCGCAUACGAUCUAAGGUUGAAAGCAGGGGACCGCAAGGCCUUGCGCGUUUGGAGCGGCCGAUGGUUGAUUAGGUAGUUGGUGGGAUAAAAGCUUACCAAGCCGACGAUCUGUAGCUGGUCUGAGAGGACGACCAGCCACACUGGGACUGAGACACGGCCCAGACUCCUACGGGAGGCAGCAGUGGGGAAUUGUGGACAAUGGGCGAAAGCCUGAUCCAGCAAUGCCGCGUGCAGGAUGAAGGCCUUCGGGUUGUAAACUGCUUUUGUACGGAACGAAAAGGCUCUGGCUAAGACCUGGGGCACAUGACGGUACCGUAAGAAUAAGCACCGGCUAACUACGUG
This 482-nucleotide ribosomal RNA is filed under the name uncultured bacterium. Its description in RNAcentral is "partial 16S ribosomal RNA". It matches the Rfam family "Bacterial small subunit ribosomal RNA", at positions 30 to 507 of the family's 1533-position model. The record is from RNAcentral.